This 491-nucleotide ribosomal RNA is filed under the name uncultured bacterium. RNAcentral's name for it is "partial 16S ribosomal RNA". It matches the Rfam family "Bacterial small subunit ribosomal RNA", at positions 29 to 506 of the family's 1533-position model. The record is from RNAcentral.
AGUGAACGCUGGCGGUAGGCCUAACACAUGCAAGUCGAACGGCAGCACAGUAAGAGCUUGCUCUUACGGGUGGCGAGUGGCGGACGGGUGAGGAAUACAUCGGAAUCUACUUUUUCGUGGGGGAUAACGUAGGGAAACUUACGCUAAUACCGCAUACGACCUACGGGUGAAAGCAGGGGAUCUUCGGACCUUGCGCGAUUGAAUGAGCCGAUGUCGGAUUAGCUAGUUGGCGGGGUAAAGGCCCACCAAGGCGACGAUCUGUAGCUGGUCUGAGAGGAUGAUCAGCCACACUGGAACUGAGACACGGUCCAGACUCCUACGGGAGACAGCAGUGGGGAAUAUUGGACAAUGGGCGCAAGCCUGAUCCAGCCAUACCGCGUGGGUGAAGAAGGCCUUCGGGUUGUAAAGCCCUUUUGUUGGGAAAGAAAAGCAGCAGGUUAAUACCCCGCUGUUCUGACGGUACCCAAAGAAUAAGCACCGGCUAACUUCGU